CUGAGUACUACACUCUCUACCCUUUGUGAACUAUUAUACCUGUUGCUUCGGCGGCGCCCGCGAGGGUGCCCGCCGGUCUCAUCAGAAUUCUCUGUUUUCGAACCCGACGAUACUUCUGAGUGCUCUUAGCGAACUGUCA
RNAcentral lists this unclassified non-coding RNA (139 nucleotides) under soil metagenome. Its description in RNAcentral is "partial internal transcribed spacer 1". The record is from RNAcentral.